Molecule: ribosomal RNA, 468 nt
Filed under: uncultured bacterium
Lineage: Bacteria
Description: partial 16S ribosomal RNA
Rfam family: Bacterial small subunit ribosomal RNA
Source: RNAcentral
GACGAACGCUGGCGGCGUGCCUAAUACAUGCAAGUCGAGCGAGGAACUUCGGUUUCUAGCGGCGAACGGGUGAGUAACACGUGGGCAACCUGGCCUUAAGCCUGGGAUAACACCGGGAAACCGGUGCUAACACCCGAUAAUCUCUUUUCUCGCAUGAGAGAAGCGUAAAAGUUUACACUUAAGGAUGGGCCCGCGGUGCAUUAGCUCGUUGGUGGGGUAACGGCCUACCAAGGCGACGAUGCAUAGCCGACCUGAGAGGGUGACCGGCCACACUGGGACUGAGACACGGCCCAGACUCCUACGGGAGGCAGCAGUAGGGAAUUUUCCGCAAUGGGCGAAAGCCUGACGGAGCAACGCCGCGUGAGUGAAGACGGCCUUCGGGUUGUAAAGCUCUGUUCUUGGGGAAGAAAACAAUGACGGUACCCAAGCAGAAAGCCCCGGCUAACUACGUGCCAGCAGCCGCCGUAA